RNAcentral lists this long non-coding RNA (343 nucleotides) under Fukomys damarensis (Damara mole-rat). Its description in RNAcentral is "lncRNA (ENSFDAG00000024323.1)". The record is from RNAcentral. Lineage: Eukaryota; Metazoa; Chordata; Mammalia; Rodentia; Bathyergidae.
AACACCUUCUGCUGAAUGGUUUGCUGUUAAUUCAUCUCCAUGAGGUUGCUACAGCAACCGCCCCAUUGGGAGGAUUCAUUGGCACCUAGAUGGACUAUUUCCCUGACAUUCGCAGAGGAGGGCAAUGCCAAUGUUUAAUGAGAAGAGAGGAGAAGAUAAAUCCUGGCCAGAUGUUCCAAUCUCCUGAGUCUCCAUAAGCUCACAUCUACUCUGGGAAUGAAUGGGACACAGACGCAAAAGGAAAUGUGGGAUCUAACUUCUACACCGGGGAAUGAAUUUCUUCCCUUCAGUGGGGACAGGCAUUACAAAUGUCUAACCUGCAUGACCUUUAUGUCAUCACAAG